AUUGAACGCUGGCGGCAGGCCUAACACAUGCAAGUCGAGCGAGCGGCGGACGGGUGAGUAAUGUAUGGGGACUGCCCGAUAGAGGGGGAUAACUACUGGAAACGGUGGCUAAUACCGCAUACUAUCGGAUACCCAAGAGGGGAUUAGCUAGUAGGUUGGGUAAAGGCUCACCUAGGCGACGAUCUCUAGCUGGUAUGAGAGGAUGAUAAGCCACACGGGGACUGGGACACGGCCCAGUCUCCUACGGAGGCAGCAGUGGGGAAUAUUGCACAAUGGGCUCAAUCCUGAUGCAGCCAUGCCGCGUGUAUGAAGAAGGCCUUAGGGUUGUAAAGUACUUUCAGCGGGGAGGCGUUACCCGCAGAAGAAGCACCGGCUAACUCCGUGCCAGCAGCCGCGGUAAUAC
This 403-nucleotide ribosomal RNA is filed under the name uncultured bacterium. RNAcentral's name for it is "partial 16S ribosomal RNA". It matches the Rfam family "Bacterial small subunit ribosomal RNA", at positions 30 to 526 of the family's 1533-position model. The record is from RNAcentral.